RNAcentral lists this non-coding RNA (23 nucleotides) under Arabidopsis thaliana (thale cress). The record is from RNAcentral. Lineage: Eukaryota; Viridiplantae; Streptophyta; Magnoliopsida; Brassicales; Brassicaceae.
UUUAUCUAUGUUGCUUUCUAAGG